Molecule: ribosomal RNA, 497 nt
Filed under: uncultured bacterium
Lineage: Bacteria
Description: partial 16S ribosomal RNA
Rfam family: Bacterial small subunit ribosomal RNA
Source: RNAcentral
UAUGCACGCUGGCGGCGUGCCUAAUACAUGCAAGUCGAGCGAACGGACGAGAAGCUUGCUUCUCUGAUGUUAGCGGCGGACGGGUGAGUAACACGUGGAUAACCUACCUAUAAGACUGGGAUAACUUCGGGAAACCGGGGCUAAUACCGGAUAAUAUUUUGAACCGCAUGGUUCAAAAGUGAAAGACGGUCUUGCUGUCACUUAUAGAUGGAUCCGCGCUGCAUUAGCUAGUUGGUAAGGUAACGGCUUACCAAGGCAACGAUGCAUAGCCGACCUGAGAGGGUGAUCGGCCACACUGGAACUGAGACACGGUCCAGACUCCUACGGGAGGCAGCAGUAGGGAAUCUUCCGCAAUGGGCGAAAGCCUGACGGAGCAACGCCGCGUGAGUGAUGAAGGUCUUCGGAUCGUAAAACUCUGUUAUUAUGGAAGAACAUAUGUGUAAGUAACUGUGCACAUCUUGACGGUACCUAAUCAGAAAGCCACGGCUAACUACGUG